AACUUGGUCAUUUAGAGGAAGUAAAAGUCGUAACAAGGUUUCCGUAGGUGAACCUGCGGAAGGAUCAUUAUUGAAUGAAUCUAGAGUUGGUUGUUGCUGGCCUCUAGAGGCAUGUGCACACCUUCUCUUUCAUCCACACACACCUGUGCACUUGUGAGAUUGGAGGGCUGGAAUUUUUUCUAAAUUUUCUAACCUUCCAUCUGCUAUUACACAAACUCGAUUUAAUUUAAACCGAAUGUAAUUGAUGUAACGCAUCUAAUACUAAGUCUCAACAACGGAUCUCUUGGCUCUCGCAUCGAUGAAGAACGCAGCGAAAUGCGAUAAGUAAUGUGAAUUGCAGAAUUCAGUGAAUCAUCGAAUCUUUGAACGCAUCUUGCGCUCCUUGGUAUUCCUUGGAGCAUGCCUGUUUGAGUAUCAUGAAACUCUCAAAGUAAAUCUUUUGUUAAUUCGAUUGGUUCACUUUGGAUUUGGAGGCUCUGCAGAUUUUACAAUCUGCUCCUCUUGAAUAUAUUAGCUGGAUCUCAGUAUAUACUUGGUUCCACUCGGCGUGAUAAGUAUCACUCGCUGAGGACGCCCAUGAAAAGGUGGCCAAGGAAUACAGAUGAACUGCUUCUAAUAGUCUAUUAGAUUAGACAAUUGAUCUUAUGAUCUGAUCUCAAAUCAGGUAGGACUACCCGCUGAACUUAAGCAUAUCAAUAAGCGGAGGAAAAGAAACUAACAAGGAUU
This 726-nucleotide ribosomal RNA is filed under the name Ceratobasidium sp. BB0009_1_A. RNAcentral's name for it is "eukaryotic LSU rRNA". The stretch from base 264 to 417 matches the Rfam family "5.8S ribosomal RNA". Lineage: Eukaryota; Fungi; Basidiomycota; Agaricomycetes; Cantharellales; Ceratobasidiaceae. The record is from RNAcentral.